This 436-nucleotide ribosomal RNA is filed under the name uncultured bacterium. RNAcentral's name for it is "bacterial SSU rRNA". It matches the Rfam family "Bacterial small subunit ribosomal RNA", at positions 341 to 792 of the family's 1533-position model. The record is from RNAcentral.
ACGGAAGGCAGCAGUGGGGGAUAUUGCACAAUGGGCGAAAGCCUGAUGCAGCGACGCCGCGUGAGGGAAGACGGCCUUCGGGUUGUAAACCUCUGUCAUUCGGGACGAAUUGAUGACGGUACCGAAGAAGGAAGCUCCGGCUAACUACGUGCCAGCAGCCGCGGUAAUACGUAGGGAGCGAGCGUUGUCCGGAAUUACUGGGUGUAAAGGGAGCGUAGGCGGGAAAGCAAGUUGGAAGUGAAAUGCAUGGGCUUAACCCAUGAGCUGCUUUCAAAACUGUUUUUCUUGAGUGAAGUAGAGGCAGGCGGAAUUCCUAGUGUAGCGGUGAAAUGCGUAGAUAUUAGGAGGAACACCAGUGGCGAAGGCGGCCUGCUGGGCUUUAACUGACGCUGAGGCUCGAAAGCGUGGGUAGCAAACAGGAUUAGAUACCCUGGUA